Molecule: ribosomal RNA, 345 nt
Filed under: uncultured bacterium
Lineage: Bacteria
Description: bacterial SSU rRNA
Rfam family: Bacterial small subunit ribosomal RNA
Source: RNAcentral
GACGAACGCUGACGGUGUGCUUUAGACAUGCAAGUCGAACGAGAAAGCCCUUCGGGGUUAGUAAAGUGGCGAACGGGUGAGUAACACGUGGGCAAUCUGCCCCUCGCAGGGGGACAACCGGAGGAAACCCCGGCUAAUACCCCGUAAGUUCAAAGGGAGGCAUCUCCCUUCGAAGAAAGGUAGCUUCGGCCAUCCGGCGAGGGAUGAGCCCGCGGUGCAUUAGCUAGUUGGUGGGGUAACGGCCCACCAAGGCGACGAUGCAUAGCUGGUCUGAGAGGAUGAUCAGCCACACUGGGACUGAGACACGGCCCAGACUCCUACGGGAGGCAGCAGUCGGGAAUCUUG